GACGAACGCUGGGCGGCGUGGAUUAGGCAUGCAAGUCGGACGGUAGGGCUUUAUCGUAAGAUAGAGUUUGAGAGUGGCGAACGGGUGAGUAACACGUAGGAAUCUACCCUUAAGACGGGGACAACCCAGGGAAACUUGGGCUAAUACCGGAUGAGAGUGCGAGAGAUUGCAUUUAAAAGGAUGGCGAAAGUUGUCGCUUAGGGAUGAGCCUGCGGUCUAUUAGUUAGUUGGUGAGGUAAGAGCUCACCAAGGCGAUGAUAGAUAGGCGGCCUUAACGGGUGGUCGCCCACACUGGGAUUGAGAUACGGCCCAGACUCCUACGGGAGGCAGCAGUCGAGAAUAGUCUACAAUGGCCGGAAGGCUGAUAGUGCGACGCCGCGUGAGCGAUGAAGGCCUUCGGGUCGUAAAGCUCUGUCCUCAAGGAAGAUAAUGACGGUACUUGAGGAGGAAGCCCCGGCUAACUACGUG
This 468-nucleotide ribosomal RNA is filed under the name uncultured bacterium. Its description in RNAcentral is "bacterial SSU rRNA". It matches the Rfam family "Bacterial small subunit ribosomal RNA", at positions 28 to 507 of the family's 1533-position model. The record is from RNAcentral.